GGUAUGCUUCUUCGGAACAGAGACCGGCGCACGGGUGCGUAACGCGUAUGCAAUCUACCUUUUACAGAGGGAUAGCCCAGAGAAAUUUGGAUUAAUACCUCAUAGCAUAGCAACUUCGCAUGAAGUCACUAUUAAAGUCACAACGGUAAAAGAUGAGCAUGCGUCCCAUUAGCUAGUUGGUAAGGUAACGGCUUACCAAGGCUACGAUGGGUAGGGGUCCUGAGAGGGAGAUCCCCCACACUGGUACUGAGACACGGACCAGACUCCUACGGGAGGCAGCAGUGAGGAAUAUUGGACAAUGGGCGCAAGCCUGAUCCAGCCAUGCCGCGUGCAGGAUGACGGUCCUAUGGAUUGUAAACUGCUUUUAUACAGGAAGAAACCCUGGUUCGUGAACCAGCUUGACGGUACUGUAAGAAUAAGGAUCGGCUAACUCCGUGCCAGCAGCCGCGGUAAUACGGAGGAUCCAAGCGUUAUCCGGAAUCAUUGGGUUUAAAGGGUCCGUAGGCGGUUUAGUAAGUCAGUGGUGAAAAGCCCAUCGCUCAACGGUGGAACGGCCAUUGAUACUGCUAAACUUGAAUUAUUAGGAAGUAACUAGAAUAUGUAGUGUAGCGGUGAAAUGCUUAGAGAUUACAUGGAAUACCAAUUGCGAAGGCAGGUUACUACUAAUUGAUUGACGCUGAUGGACGAAAGCGUGGGUAGCGAACAGGAUUAGAUACCCUGGUAGUCCACGCCGUAAACGAUGGAUACUAGCUGGUGGGGAGCAAUCUCAGUGGCUAAGCGAAAGUGAUAAGUAUCCCACCUGGGGAGUACGUUCGCAAGAAUGAAACUCAAAGGAAUUGACGGGGGCCCGCACAAGCGGUGGAGCAUGUGGUUUAAUUCGAUGAUACGCGAGGAACCUUACCAAGGCUUAAAUGUAGUUUGACCGAUUUGGAAACAGAUUUUUCGCAAGACAAAUUACAAGGUGCUGCAUGGUUGUCGUCAGCUCGUGCCGUGAGGUGUCAGGUUAAGUCCUAUAACGAGCGCAACCCCUGUUGUUAGUUGCCAGCGAGUCAUGUCGGGAACUCUAACAAGACUGCCAGUGCAAACUGUGAGGAAGGUGGGGAUGACGUCAAAUCAUCACGGCCCUUACGCCUUGGGC
This 1138-nucleotide ribosomal RNA is filed under the name Flavobacterium sp. RNAcentral's name for it is "bacterial SSU rRNA". It matches the Rfam family "Bacterial small subunit ribosomal RNA", at positions 66 to 1214 of the family's 1533-position model. The record is from RNAcentral. Lineage: Bacteria; Pseudomonadati; Bacteroidota; Flavobacteriia; Flavobacteriales; Flavobacteriaceae.